CAUUUCGCCCCCGUCCAUUGUUCCUAACGAACUGAAGAAACGGGAACGGCUCCCCGCGGAAAAAAUAAAAGCAGCGUGUGAGGGAAGGAAUUCCCCGCCACUUGAGCGCCCUCCUCGCCGAGGCACUCUGGACGUGCCCAGGGGCACCCUCGACGCUCCCAGCUGCCUCCGGAGCGGGCGAAGGGGAACGGAAAAAGAAAGAGGAAACCGCACGUUGCCAAGAGUAAAGCGAGGCGCGGGUCUCUCUCUGCCCCUCCAGCACAAGCGCGGAAGCGGAGGGGCCGGCAGCGGCAGGUAGGGAAGCGGGCGAGCGCGCCCGCCAGAGGCGAAUUGCCCCUCAGAGCGGCCCUUCGCGCGCCAGACGCACCCCCGGGGGGCACGUGACCGGGCGGCCCCGCGCGAGGCUUUCGCGCUCGCUCACUCACCCGCCCCAGCCAGCCAUGUCCGCGCGCCCGUCCGCGUCGCCAGCGCUUCGCUUCUGUCCCCUGCUUGGAUCUCCCUCCUCCGGGCAGGCGCCGACGUCUCACGAGAGCUCCUCGCCCAGCUCCCGCGAGAUCAGCCCGCUCACUCGCCCCUCUCCUUGAUUCCUCCUCCUCCUCCUCUGCCGUAGUGCGUAGAGCAUGAACUCCGGCUCUUCUUUCCGCCGUAGUUUGGGAAUAUACGCGCAUCCCAUCUUCCCGCCCACCUUAUUUUAAGCGGCAGAGACAUGCUGAAGAUUCAGAAGAUGGAGAGACAUUGCUGCGCCCCUGCAGGCAGCGGGUCUCUCCUAUCACCUGCCACCUGAUCUUUUCAACUGGAGAUGCAUGACAGGAAAAGUCCCUCCACAUCUUGGUACCCUAUGAGCACAACUGCUAUUUCCUUGUCCCAGGAAGCACUUCUUGGAUUUUCUUUUGAGUCCUUGGAUCUGUGAUGUCAGCAUGAGGCAGGAAGAAUGCUCCUUCCAGAGGAAAAAUGUGAAGUAGGUCAACACCAAGAACAAAGCCAACAGGGGCAUCUGGAUCUAGAAGGCAAAAGAGUCAAACUAAGGAGGAGGGACUCUAGGAUGACAAUGACCAGAGCCAAACUGGCUUAGCUUCUGCAAGAUAGCGGCCUCAUGCGCUAUCAGACCAAAAAGGGAUAGCCUGAACCCUUAUACCCUACCUUGAUCAUCGAGAUCAUCUCGAUCUCACCUGGUGAGGCUCAUCUGAUGUCAAGACAAAAUCGAACCUUCAGUGUCAUCAGCCCAAUCUAACCGAAUGCUCUACUAACACGAGAUUAGGCAAGUAUCUUCUGUAUUGAUUUUUAAAUGUUUGCUGAAAAACCCAGGCUUAUGCAGCCAAUUACACACACACAAAAAUCUUUCUGCAAUAAUUUAGCAGAUGACUUGUGUUUUCAGUUUUUAAUGUGAUUUUGGGUUGUAUAGAUAGUUGUUGUAAAC
Molecule: long non-coding RNA, 1417 nt
Organism: Rhineura floridana
Lineage: Eukaryota; Metazoa; Chordata; Lepidosauria; Squamata; Rhineuridae
Exons: 4
Source: RefSeq, a predicted model, not a curated record